This 373-nucleotide long non-coding RNA is filed under the name Capsella grandiflora. RNAcentral describes it as "long non-coding RNA (CGRA_LNC000680)". Lineage: Eukaryota; Viridiplantae; Streptophyta; Magnoliopsida; Brassicales; Brassicaceae. The record is from RNAcentral.
UAAAGUUUUAUAUAGUUUAUAAGGUACUUAUAUAUAAUAACUACUACUGUGAGAUUCAAUACAAAUAUUUUAAAAUGUUUUAAAUCGUUUUAAAUCGUUUUUAUAAGAUUUAUAAGGUUUUUAAAAGGUUUUUAAAAGGGUUUAUACGGUUUUUAUAAGGUUUUUAUAAGGUUUUUAUAAUUUAUUUUUACGCUAUUUAUGAAAGGUAUAUUAAGUUUUAUACACAUAUAAAGGUAAUUUGUGUAUAUAUUUAUAAGCUUACACAUAUAUUUGGAUAAAUUUCAAUAUUUUUAGUGGGUUUUUUGAUAAAGUUUGAAAAGGGGGUAUUUUUAAAAAGAGGUAUAUGAAAAGGGGUAUUUUUGAAAUUCACCCU